Molecule: long non-coding RNA, 406 nt
Organism: Astyanax mexicanus (Mexican tetra)
Lineage: Eukaryota; Metazoa; Chordata; Actinopteri; Characiformes; Acestrorhamphidae
Exons: 4
Source: RefSeq, a predicted model, not a curated record
GCGGCCGGGUUUCAACCUCAGCUGUUAAACUAUUUUUAUUUAUUUGCUUGUUAGUUUUGUUUAAUUCUUUAUUUGUGUGGUCGCUGUUUGCCUUUGUUUAGCAUUGGAAUAGCCAGGAAUAGCACACUAACUUACUUUCACUUUCUUUCCACUUGAUGCCUGAUCGACUGUUUUGCAGCACACGGAAGUAUUUCCUGUUCUUUGUACGAACAACCCACAAAGAGAAAUUGAAACAAGACAAUAGGCUGAAAUCGUAAAACAAUCAUUGUGGUACUCAUGGAUGCACUACUUCAGUUACUAAUUCUUCUGAUUCUACUAAUUCAAUGUAAUGGUUUUCAAGUAAAAAUCACUGGACUACCAACCAUCAACCAUCCAGAAUUUAACUUCUUUGUUAAAAAAAUUGAGG